Molecule: long non-coding RNA, 336 nt
Organism: Mustela erminea (ermine)
Lineage: Eukaryota; Metazoa; Chordata; Mammalia; Carnivora; Mustelidae
Exons: 3
Source: RefSeq, a predicted model, not a curated record
CAGGUUAGUAUAUCCAGACUCUGUGACUCAGUGACUGUGACUCCCAGGUAUGGGGACCAUAAAGGAAGCCUUUGGAGGAGGAGCUUACCGUGGAAGGGAGGGAGGCAACAGGGAAUAGAUGAGUGAGAAAGAAGACAUCUCAGAAGAUGCCGGAGUUAGAAGCAACAGAUGGGAGGGUAUAAGAUGCUGCAGUCUGUUUGCUGACUCUGUUCGGUAAAAGUUUAAAACCAGAAGCUCGAGAAGACGGGUCCAGGUUUUCCAUUAAAUACAGCAUAUCAGGAGAGGCUCGAGAGCCAGCCACGAUGUUGAUUCCACUGGUCUCUGAAGAUGUUUCUG